RNAcentral lists this ribosomal RNA (610 nucleotides) under Phenoliferia sp. RNAcentral's name for it is "partial large subunit ribosomal RNA". It matches the Rfam family "Eukaryotic large subunit ribosomal RNA", at positions 49 to 656 of the family's 3401-position model. The record is from RNAcentral. Lineage: Eukaryota; Fungi; Basidiomycota; Microbotryomycetes; Kriegeriales; Kriegeriaceae.
AGCGGAGGAAAAGAAACUAACAAGGAUUCCCCUAGUAACGGCGAGUGAAGCGGGAAGAGCUCAAAUUUGUAAUCUGGCACUUUCAGUGUCCGAGUUGUAAUCUCGAGAAGUAUUUUCCGCGCCGGACUGCAUACAAGUCUGUUGGAAUACAGCGUCAUAGUGGUGAGAACCCCGUAACUGAUGCAGAUGCCCGGUGCUUUGUGAUAUACUUUCGAAGAGUCGAGUUGUUUGGGAAUGCAGCUCAAAUUGGGUGGUAAAUUCCAUCUAAAGCUAAAUAUUGGCGAGAGACCGAUAGCGAACAAGUACCGUGAGGGAAAGAUGAAAAGCACUUUGGAAAGAGAGUUAACAGUACGUGAAAUUGUUGGAAGGGAAACGCUUGAAGUCAGACUUGCUAUUUGGAAUUCAGCCGCAAGGUGUACUUUUCAAUUCGCAGGCCAGCAUCAGUUUUUGGGGGUGGAAAAGGGUAGAGAGAAGGUAGCAGUUUCGGCUGUGUUAUAGCUCUUUGCUGGAUUCAUCCUUGGGGACUGAGGAACGCAGCACGCUUUUUGCAAGGCUUUCGAGCUUUUCGUGCUUAGGAUGCUGGUGGAAUGGCUUUAAACGACCCGUCUUG